GCCGCCAAUGUCCCAGUCCCUGGAGAGGUCUCACCCCUCACCGAGAUGCACUCAGGGCCUAUUAGCUUUUAGGGAGAAAAUGAGUUGAUAUUCAAGGAAUUCAGGACAGAAUGGCAUUAGACUUCUCAACAGCAACAUUGGAAGUUAGAAGAGAGUGGAAAAAAUAUCUUCAAAAUUAAGAGGUGUUAAUGAAGAAUGUAUGCUACCAAGUCAAUGGAUUCUACUAAAUUAGUGUCUCCAGGGGCUUUUGUGAUGAAAUAUUUGAGUGAAUGAAUGCCUUUGUCUCUGAGAAUCUGGACUUCAAGCAUAAUCACUAUCCGUACCUCUGUGCUGCUUCUGAAGAUUCCCACUAUGGUUAGCCUUUCCCCUGAGGUGAAGAUUUUGUUUUGAUCAGCUAUAAACAGACCAGUACAUUCAAGGGUUUGCCAGAUCAGAUUCAAAGGUUGUUUCAGUUCAACAAACAUAAAUUGAGCAACUCCUUAGGUUCUGUGCUGGACUCCGGUAAUGCUAAGAUUAGUAAGACAAGGUCUGGUGUUAAAGGGUUCAGCGUUCUACUGAGGAAACAACAUUUUCAUGCCUCUCUUGACUGACUUUAACCCUCUGAAUCAUCACCAACUCUCUGUGCCUUGUGGACAAGGAGUAUGAAGAAUCAAAUUGAUAACGAAACCUUCCUUCCAGCGAUCCACACAUCCCACGUGAGCAUGGGGCCCUACUUCUGUUCACCCAACUUCACCUCUGAAUAACGUCUGUACGCUUUCCUCCCUCUGCAAUAAUUCUCUGAGGUUUCUCCAAUGAGAAUUCCAAAAGGAUGAAUGACAUAUUUGAUAAAAGGACAAUAAUUCACUCCAGUCAGAAGGUAUCAAACAGCCAUAACAUUUCUGAAGAAUUGGCCCUCAGAGGGAGAACAGUGUGGUGAGACCAUGAAGAGGAGUCUAAGAAAAUGUUAUGUCAAUGAGCAGAACAGCAAUUCCCACAGGUGGAAAAAAAAAAUGACAAAAAUAUGAAAGCUUACUCUGUCUUUCCUUUUCCAUGGCUUCUCCCUUCGUAUGAGGUGUUAAUUCCCAAUACCCACCAAGACUUCUGCUUCCAGCUGUGGUAGGUUACCUUGUAACAGGUCAAUCAUCUUUCCAAGAAAAACUAGAAAAGUGAAAAGCUGGACUAAAAUACACACACAACACACAUUACCUGUUUGAAGAUGUUAGAGCGAUUUCAAAGCAGCAAGGACUUGAGGGCCAGACUGUUGAAGAGAAGGGAAGAAAAGUGAAAGGGCAACAUUCAGUUCUGCUUUUCUCCUCAAGGCAUUUGCCAAUUUGUAACUGAGGGUUGAGAAGCUGGAAAUCUGACCAGAGCUUGGGAGCCAAAAAUGGAAUUCAGAGAUCACUAUGCAAGAGAGACCUGGUUAACAAUCCAGGAUUUCAGUUGUGACUUUUAAAGAGUUACUCUUUAACAGUAAAGACAAGCCAGAAAUAGACCAGUCCACACACAGAUUAAACUCAGCUUCAAACUAGCUCAAUUUCAACUUCAGACUGGAUUAAGGUGAAUUUCCCUUACCCUAAGUGCCUAAUUGUCUCUAGAAUUUUUCAUACAUUGUGUCCAGGAUUCACUUAUAAAUUUACCAGGCUAUAGGAAACAAAAACAAAUGACUAAUAAGGAAAAAAAACAAGAUACUAGUAAAUGUCUUUAGCAAUUUCAGAUAGUCAGAUAUUUCAGGUUCACCUUGCAUUAACCCAUUAGUACCCUACUUCCCUCAGUCUCCCUAGGACCUCUGAUGUGCUCCAGGUGAUAAGAGCUAAUUUCACGUAAUAAUUCACGCUAAUAUACGAAGAGAAUUUUCUUCCACCUCCUUCAACCAUUUGAUAAACUUUGAUAGUGCUUCUAAACAAAUAUCUAAUUAGUUGUACAACCCAAAAGAGAUGGUGGGAAUUUCGAGUUAAGUAGGAAAGAAGACUCUUGGUAAAAUGGCAAUACGUAAGGGCAAUAUUUUGGGGACAGGAAAGGCAAUUUGGGGACCCUCUAAUGGCUUUAUGUAGACAACUACCCAGCCUUACUGCCUGGAUGGUAAAUAGUUAGCAAGCAUAGCUAAUCACUGGCCCAUAUGGUUUUGUUUCUGUCUGAUCUGCAUACUAUAGCUGCUCUAUACUUUGAGACUCUCUUUUGUAUUUCACGCAAUUCUGUUGUUUUAAAACACUGAUGAGGUAUGAUGUGCUUUUAGUGAAGCAAUGUAAAUCUAUCAAAUCUGGCGCAGCCAAUAUCAGAUCUACUAGGGCAUGAUUACUGGCUUAAGGAGUGAAGAUCACUUUCUGUUGGCUGCGCUUGGAUGAAGACAGACCUUGCGUAAGGAAUCUAGGAAUCUGAAAAGAGCAAGAGCACAGGGCUCUUGGUUUUAUGUUUUAGAGAAAGGAGAUAUGACAUAAAGUAAUAUUUCUAGGUCCAGUGAAAGAGGACAAGAGAGCCUUUAUUUUUUUUUAUAAGUUAUAGUGUCGAAAAGCGUAACAAAAUAAGAGAGAAAACAUGAAAUUCAGUUGGAAGAUUGAAUAGUUGGGCCCAA
Molecule: long non-coding RNA, 2548 nt
Organism: Diceros bicornis minor
Lineage: Eukaryota; Metazoa; Chordata; Mammalia; Perissodactyla; Rhinocerotidae
Exons: 6
Source: RefSeq, a predicted model, not a curated record